Molecule: ribosomal RNA, 253 nt
Filed under: uncultured bacterium
Lineage: Bacteria
Description: partial 16S ribosomal RNA
Rfam family: Bacterial small subunit ribosomal RNA
Source: RNAcentral
UACGUAGGGUGCAAGCGUUGUCCGGAAUUAUUGGGCGUAAAGAGCUCGUAGGCGGUCUGUCGCGUCGGCUGUGAAAACCCGGAGCUCAACUCCGGGCCUGCAGUCGAUACGGGCAGACUGGAGUUCGGCAGGGGAGACUGGAAUUCCUGGUGUAGCGGUGAAAUGCGCAGAUAUCAGGAGGAACACCGAUUGCGAAGGCAGCUCGCUGGAACGUUACUGACGCUGAGACGCGAAAGCGUGGGGAGCAAACAGG